This 206-nucleotide non-coding RNA is filed under the name Mucinivorans hirudinis. Lineage: Bacteria; Pseudomonadati; Bacteroidota; Bacteroidia; Bacteroidales; Rikenellaceae. The record is from RNAcentral.
UACCUUUGUCUUGGUAUCGGUUCUCGAUGUUGUCCGCCGUGGCAAUGGAGAUUAAAAGGGAAUCCUGUGAAAAUCAGGGACUAUCCCCGUAGCUGUAAGUUUUAUUUGAGAGGAGUGUACUCACUUUUAAGCCACUGUCCCGAGAGGAUGGGAAGGCUGCACUGCCCGAAACGAGUCAGAAGACCUGCCGCCUACCUUAAAUACAU